UACAGAGGUCCCAAGCGUUGUUCGGAUUCAUUGGGCGUAAAGGGUGCGUAGGCGGCGGGGUAAGUUGGAUGUGAAAUCUCGGGGCUCAACCCCGAAACUGCAUUCAAUACUGCCUUGCUUGAGUACUGGAGAGGAGACUGGAAUUCAUGGUGUAGCAGUGAAAUGCGUAGAUAUCAUGAGGAAGGCCAGUGGCGAAGGCGGGUCUCUGGACAGUUACUGACGCUGAGGCACGAAGGCCAGGGGAGCAAACGGG
This 253-nucleotide ribosomal RNA is filed under the name uncultured bacterium. Its description in RNAcentral is "partial 16S ribosomal RNA". It matches the Rfam family "Bacterial small subunit ribosomal RNA", at positions 524 to 776 of the family's 1533-position model. RNAcentral also lists the same sequence under 1 other name. The record is from RNAcentral.